RNAcentral lists this ribosomal RNA (292 nucleotides) under uncultured bacterium. RNAcentral's name for it is "partial 16S ribosomal RNA". It matches the Rfam family "Bacterial small subunit ribosomal RNA", at positions 505 to 796 of the family's 1533-position model. The record is from RNAcentral.
GUGCCAGCCGCCGCGGUAAUACAGAGGUCCCGAGCGUUGUUCGGAUUCACUGGGCGUAAAGGGUGCGUAGGUGGUGGGAUAAGUCGGAUGUGAAAUCUCGGAGCUCAACUCCGAAACUGCAUUGGAAACUGUCCUGCUAGAGGGUUGGAGGGGGGACUGGAAUACUUGGUGUAGCAGUGAAAUGCGUAGAUAUCAAGUGGAACACCGGUGGCGAAGGCGAGUCCCUGGACAACACCUGACACUGAGGCACGAAAGCUAGGGGAGCAAACAGGAUUAGAAACCCGCGUAGUCC